UGCAUUUUAUGGUGGUCAUUAACAGGC
This 27-nucleotide non-coding RNA is filed under the name Homo sapiens (human). The record is from RNAcentral. Lineage: Eukaryota; Metazoa; Chordata; Mammalia; Primates; Hominidae.